GUCCCUCUCUUAAAGCAAGUGUUCAGAGUCAUGAGCAGAUGGAAGAUACAGGCGGAGGCGUCUUACCUGUCACCGUUGGUAUGUCUGGUUGAAACCUGCGACAAGAUCAUGACCUUCCCAAAGCCAUCUAGGAGUACAGAGAAAAAAUGCACAGUGCAUGAAAACUGUGAAAUGGAGUCCCACCACCAGCUAUGGUGGGGAAAAGCCUUUGAACGCCACCUGGCUCUGACAUUCUUCCUUUAGGAAUCAGUCCUGAUGCAACUCUCAGCAACCUGUGCCGAGAUCUCUGUGGAAGCAUUGUUUGCAAGCGCAGAUAAUCAGAAACCACCCAAAAAAAUUAUAAAGAAGACAUUGGGCAAAUCAACAAUGGUAUGCUGAGAUUUGGAUUGCCAAAUUGACCUUGAAGUGAAGGAGGCAGAUUUGCUUGUAAUAACACUGAAAGUGAUACAAGAUCUACUUGAAGUGCAGAAUAUCAUGUUCACCAUGAGACACUGUUUGUGCAGCAUGCCUCCUAUUGUGUCAACAAUGUAAAAGGGAAAUGUCUCAAAACGGAAGAAGACGCCUGUGGGCAACAGCAUCUGGAGAGUGAUCUGGGAGCUGGAAAGAAGACUCACUUUUCACUUUAGAAACUUGGGCACUGUAAGGAUAUUUUGGGCUUGG
Macaca mulatta (Rhesus monkey) is the source of this 660-nucleotide non-coding RNA. NCBI's taxonomy places the organism in Eukaryota, Metazoa, Chordata, Mammalia, Primates, Cercopithecidae. The record is from RefSeq and is a predicted model, not a curated record.